GACGAACGCUGGCGGCGUGCCUAAUACAUGCAAGUCGAACGCUUCUUUCCUCCCGAGUGCUUGCACUCAAUUGGAAAGAGGAGUGGCGGACGGGUGAGUAACACGUGGGUAACCUACCCAUCAGAGGGGGAUGACACUUGGAAACAGGUGCUAAUACCGCAUAACAGUUUAUGCCGCAUGGCAUAAGAGUGAAAGGCGCUUUCGGGGGUCGCUGAUGGAUGGACCCGCGGUGCAUUAGCUAGUUGGUGAGGUAACGGCUCACCAAGGCCACGAUGCAUAGCCGACCUGAGAGGGUGAUCGGCCACACUGGGACUGAGACACGGCCCAGACUCCUACGGGAGGCAGCAGUAGGGAAUCUUCGGCAAUGGACGAAAGUCUGACCGAGCAACGCCGCGUGAGUGAAGAAGGUUUUCGGAUCGUAAAACUCUGUUGUUAGAGAAGAACAAGGACGUUAGUAACUGAACGUCCCCUGACGGUAUCUAACCAGAAAGCCACGGCUAACUACGUG
This 508-nucleotide ribosomal RNA is filed under the name uncultured bacterium. RNAcentral's name for it is "partial 16S ribosomal RNA". It matches the Rfam family "Bacterial small subunit ribosomal RNA", at positions 28 to 507 of the family's 1533-position model. The record is from RNAcentral.